Hippocampus comes (tiger tail seahorse) is the source of this 507-nucleotide long non-coding RNA. RefSeq lists it as uncharacterized. The record is from RefSeq and is a predicted model, not a curated record. The transcript is spliced from 2 exons. Lineage: Eukaryota; Metazoa; Chordata; Actinopteri; Syngnathiformes; Syngnathidae.
GUUGCCAAACCCUAACCUUGUGUUUGGUCUUGCAAGAGAGAUGAGCAGCAAUGACAUUGCACGUACCAAUGCGCUAUAUGGAUGUGAUUAAUAAAGAAUAGAGAGCAACGGUUUGGCUGUCAUAUUUGCCCAACUCUUAAGAUGACAACAUCUGUUGUGUGAACAAAAUGAAGACAGAGAAAUACACGCCUGUGUUCGCUGGCAUCUACACUUUCUGAUUACCUUUGCUUUGCUUUUCGCUCUUUUCCUUUUUGAACAGUGGCUUAUUGCUGUAUUUGUCAGGUUAAGAACUGAUGUGCCAGAAAAAUGAUACAUGUAUUGACUCAGAAACUAAAAAAAAAACCAAAACAACAAUAAAGUCUAAAAAUGUGUAUCUGUAACCAGUGUUGUACGUAACAACUGCCUUUGACAAGUGUACUUUACCGCAGGGAUGGGUGGAGAUGUGUCUGAUGCUACUCCACUGUAAAUUUUGGACAUAUACACAAUUUUACUCACACAUAACCACCA